AUUGAACGCUGGCGGCAUGCUUUACACAUGCAAGUCGAACGGCAGCACGGGGGCAACCCUGGUGGCGAGUGGCGAACGGGUGAGUAACACAUCGGAACGUGCCCAGUUGUGGGGGAUAACCUAUCGAAAGGUAGGCUAAUACCGCAUGAGCUCGGCAAGAGGAAAGCGGGGGACUCAGCGAUGGGCCUCGCGCGACUGGAGCGGCCGAUGUCCGAUUAGCAGUUGGUGGGGUAAAGGCUUACCAAGGCGACGAUCGGUAGCUGGUCUGAGAGGAUGAUCAGCCACACUGGGACUGAGACACGGCCCAGGCUCCUACGGGAGGCAGCAGUGGGGAAUUUUGGACAAUGGGGCAACCCUGAUCCAGCCAUGCCGCGUGAGUGAAGAAGGCCUGGUGU
Molecule: ribosomal RNA, 395 nt
Filed under: uncultured bacterium
Lineage: Bacteria
Description: bacterial SSU rRNA
Rfam family: Bacterial small subunit ribosomal RNA
Source: RNAcentral